GUGUUCAACACAGAAUAUUUCUGUCACUAUGAACUAUCUAUCUACGUAUAUAAUAUAUAGCCAAAAUGUAUUUCACAUUCUUUCAUGUAUGACAUGUUUUGUGUAAUAAUAAUCACACUGAGAUAUGUGGGUGGAGCAUGAAGAGAUUGAGUUGGCAUUCAUCUCUUAUGAUUUCAGUGUGUUCUUCAGCAGUGCAAAAAUGAGAUCGCUUUUUUACCUACUUGUACUAUUAGCCAUUCAGGAAUCCUUUGGCCAAUCAAUAACACCAUUGGAGACCACAAAACAUGCCACUGAGAGAGAGUCAGUCAUUCUCUCAUGCAAAUAUGAUAGCCAAGCACGUACUUUACAUUGGUAUCGACAAUAUCCUGGAUCCAGACCUCAAUUUCUGAUUUUUGUUUAUGAAUCUGGCAGUGUAACACAUGCAGAACCCCCUAUCCCAAGACUGAGUGCCAGUGUGAAUAAGGUGGAGAAGCAGGUAGAUCUGAAGAUCUCUUCUGCUGCAGUCACGGAUUCAGCGCUGUACUACUGCGCCCUGGAGCCCACAGUGACAGGAAGAGCAACCACACUGUACAAAAACCUCUAUGAGGAGUAAUGUU
Rhinichthys klamathensis goyatoka is the source of this 596-nucleotide non-coding RNA. NCBI's taxonomy places the organism in Eukaryota, Metazoa, Chordata, Actinopteri, Cypriniformes, Leuciscidae. The record is from the annotation of a RefSeq genome assembly.